AGUGAACGCUGGCGGUAGGCCUAACACAUGCAAGUCGAACGGCAGCACAGUAAGAGCUUGCUCUUACGGGUGGCGAGUGGCGGACGGGUGAGGAAUACAUCGGAAUCUACUUUUUCGUGGGGGAUAACGUAGGGAAACUUACGCUAAUACCGCAUACGACCUACGGGUGAAAGCAGGGGAUCUUCGGACCUUGCGCGAUUGAAUGAGCCGAUGUCGGAUUAGCUAGUUGGCGGGGUAAAGGCCCACCAAGGCGACGAUCCGUAGCUGGUCUGAGAGGAUGAUCAGCCACACUGGAACUGAGACACGGUCCAGACUCCUACGGGAGGCAGCAGUGGGGAAUAUUGGAUAAUGGGCGCAAGCCUGAUCCAGCUAUACCGCGUGGGUGAAGAAGGCCUUCGGGUUGUAAAGCCCUUUUGUUGGGAAAGAAAAGCAGCAGGUUAAUACCCCGCUGUUCUGACGGUACCCAAAGAAUAAGCACCGGCUAACUUCGUG
Molecule: ribosomal RNA, 492 nt
Filed under: uncultured bacterium
Lineage: Bacteria
Description: partial 16S ribosomal RNA
Rfam family: Bacterial small subunit ribosomal RNA
Source: RNAcentral